RNAcentral lists this ribosomal RNA (468 nucleotides) under uncultured bacterium. RNAcentral describes it as "partial 16S ribosomal RNA". It matches the Rfam family "Bacterial small subunit ribosomal RNA", at positions 28 to 507 of the family's 1533-position model. The record is from RNAcentral.
GACGAACGCUGGCGGCGUGCUUAACACAUGCAAGUCGAACGGAAAGGCCCUGCUUUUGUGGGGUGCUCGAGUGGCGAACGGGUGAGUAACACGUGAGUAACCUGCCCUUGACUUUGGGAUAACUUCAGGAAACUGGGGCUAAUACCGGAUAGGAGCUCCUGCUGCAUGGUGGGGGUUGGAAAGUUUCGGCGGUUGGGGAUGGACUCGCGGCUUAUCAGCUUGUUGGUGGGGUAGUGGCUUACCAAGGCUUUGACGGGUAGCCGGGCUGGGCGGGUGACCGGCCACAUUGGGACAUGGGAGCGGGCCAGGCUCCUAAGGGGGGGAGGAGGGGGGGAUAAUGGACAAUGGGCCGAAGGCUGGUGCAGGCACGGCGCGUGGGGGAAGACGGCCUUCGGGGUGUAAACCGCUUUCGCCUGUGACGAAGCGUGAGUGACGGUAAUGGGUAAAGAAGCACCGGCUAACUACGUG